This 621-nucleotide ribosomal RNA is filed under the name Salmonella enterica. RNAcentral describes it as "bacterial LSU rRNA". It matches the Rfam family "Bacterial large subunit ribosomal RNA", at positions 1 to 652 of the family's 2925-position model. RNAcentral also lists the same sequence under 5 other names. Lineage: Bacteria; Pseudomonadati; Pseudomonadota; Gammaproteobacteria; Enterobacterales; Enterobacteriaceae. The record is from RNAcentral.
GGGUUGUGAGGUUAAGCGACUAAGCGUACACGGUGGAUGCCCUGGCAGUCAGAGGCGAUGAAGGGCGUGCUAAUCUGCGAUAAGCGCCGGUAAGGUGAUAUGAACCGUUAUAACCGGCGAUACCCGAAUGGGGAAACCCAGUGUGACUCGUCACACUAUCAUUAACUGAAUCCAUAGGUUAAUGAGGCGAACCGGGGGAACUGAAACAUCUAAGUACCCCGAGGAAAAGAAAUCAACCGAGAUUCCCCCAGUAGCGGCGAGCGAACGGGGAGGAGCCCAGAGCCUGAAUCAGCAUGUGUGUUAGUGGAAGCGUCUGGAAAGGCGCGCGAUACAGGGUGACAGCCCCGUACACAAAAGCGCAUAUGCUGUGAGCUCGAUGAGUAGGGCGGGACACGUGGUAUCCUGUCUGAAUAUGGGGGGACCAUCCUCCAAGGCUAAAUACUCCUGACUGACCGAUAGUGAACCAGUACCGUGAGGGAAAGGCGAAAAGAACCCCGGCGAGGGGAGUGAAAAAGAACCUGAAACCGUGUACGUACAAGCAGUGGGAGCACCCUUUUGGGUGUGACUGCGUACCUUUUGUAUAAUGGGUCAGCGACUUAUAUUCUGUAGCAAGGUUAACCG